This 459-nucleotide ribosomal RNA is filed under the name uncultured bacterium. RNAcentral's name for it is "partial 16S ribosomal RNA". It matches the Rfam family "Bacterial small subunit ribosomal RNA", at positions 338 to 795 of the family's 1533-position model. The record is from RNAcentral.
CCUACGGGAGGCAGCAGUGAGGAAUAUUGGUCAAUGGGAGAGAUCCUGAACCAGCCAAGCCGCGUGAGGGAUGACGGCCCUAUGGGUUGUAAACCUCUUUUGUCGGGGAACAAAAGCCGGUACGUGUCCCAUGAUGCGUGUAUCCGAAGAAAAAGCAUCGGCUAACUCCGUGCCAGCAGCCGCGGUAAUACGGAGGAUGCGAGCGUUAUCCGGAUUUAUUGGGUUUAAGGGGUGCGUAGGCGGUCAGUUAAGUUAGCGGUAAAACUGAGGGGCUAAACCCAGACUAGCCGUUGAAACUGGCAGACUAGAGUUGGCGAGAGGUAUGCGGAAUGCGUGGUGUAGCGGUGAAAUGCAUAGAUAUCACGCAGAACCCCGAUUGCGAAGGCAGCAUACCGGAGCACAACUGACGCUGAGGCACGAAAGCGUGGGUAGCGAACAGGAUUAGAUACCCGAGUAGUC